AUUGUUUGGAGAGUUUGAUCCUGGCUCAGGACGAACGCUGGCGGCGUGCUUAACACAUGCAAGUCGAGCGGAAAGGCCCUUCGGGGUACUCGAGCGGCGAAC
This 102-nucleotide ribosomal RNA is filed under the name Streptosporangium subroseum. RNAcentral describes it as "16S rRNA. Bacterial SSU". It matches the Rfam family "Bacterial small subunit ribosomal RNA", at positions 1 to 103 of the family's 1533-position model. The record is from RNAcentral. Lineage: Bacteria; Bacillati; Actinomycetota; Actinomycetes; Streptosporangiales; Streptosporangiaceae.